ACAAAAUGGCCUUAGUCCAGGAACAAAACAUUACUUCACAUAGGAACACAAAUUUAUUCACAUAGGGGAACAAAUGUCGUUACACUUUCUGCUUUUGCCAGGAAAUAGAUGAACUACGAAGAAGCCUAUCUCUCUCACUUGAGUAAAUGGUUCGUACAAAAUGUUCUAGUGUGAUCUAUCUAAAUAACAACAGAAGGAACAAAUUUCACACUGCGCCCAUGUACACUUUUGAAGAUGAGUUGCACUAGCAUUAAUCAAGUUGGCCUGCUGAAAAUCAGACACAGUGGACUGCAACCAUCUUAAUUACUGCUGAAGAUUGUCAGCCAUACAAAUUACUACAGAAACUGGUUAAGAACAGUCGACCGUGUGCAGCCAUACUAAUUUAUCUUGUGGAAUAGACAUAGGCAGCUUAGAGGCAUACUUUUGUUCUUACUGAUGACCUACAGAGCAUGUAGGGAAAGAUAUAGGGGAAGGAUUAAUCAAUAUUGAGCUUGAGCGACCAUCUCAACAAUAAAUCCAAAAGUGGCAGCAGCAUAUAUCUCGCUACACUGCACCUCAAGGGAGAUCAAAUCCCCAUGUUGAAUAGCAUCCCAGCAACAGCAAGAUCACUCACCCAUUCAAAGACCGACUAUCUUUCCUCGUGAAUGGCGACAAGCACCAGGAUCAACACCUACAGGAAAGAGGUAGAUGUUCAUAGGCAUAACAACAAGUUCAGCUUCAUAGCUCAACCCAUGGACCGCUAUUUGAAAUCAAGACAAUUGUGUUUAUGGCUUCAAAGAUAUCUUCAAGCAAGACCAUUGAAAUGGAAGUGAACCAAGUAGUAGUAACGCUCCAACACCCCACCAACACCAAACAAUUCCUAACCUAUUUAGUACUGACCCAAAACCUAUUUUGUAUUUUUUUUCUAUUCAUUAUUUAUCAGUAAGAUGAAUUCUUACCAAAAUCCAAUGAUUGACCUCUCUGGACUAUAAUCUUUGAACUUCCACAUUACUUUAAAAAAUACAUGCUUCUUUAGGUCCAUGUAAACGGAGAAGUUCACAGUUACUGUUUGCUGGUAUUGCAUAAAAUUCUGUUUUUUAGAGUGCACACUUAUAAGACGUGGACCAUCAGACAAAAAAUGCCAAUGGUAGUGGCGGCUUGAAAUACAACAAGAAACAAACAGGGGGGAAUAUACAUGAGAUAUCUUUUUUAACAUGUUCAGUACAUGGAGAUCCUAGUGUACAUAAAUCAUUUUAGUCAGAUAGCAACUCGCGACAUGUGGCCACAUACAUAGGCUGAAUGCAUGCCACCUUGGUAGCCACAUACAUAGGCAAGUUGAAGCUGAAGUAGCUAACAAAUUUUUGAACAAAAAAAGUUAUAGAGGGGAUUGCUCUCACAAUAAGUCUCCCUUUACAGGAUUCAACAGAAGUUGAACUUGAUGGUGUGCAGCAGGAUCCGGGGUGUUGUGUUCACGAACGGUCGGCAUCUCCAUCGUUGCACAGCCCGGCACUGCAUACUGGAACGGACCAGGGCUGCUUUGGGAGGACUCGGGUGCUGCUGCAGAUCGGAUCAGGGUGAGGGUGCUCUCCACUGCCCUAAAGAAAAUGCUCUGUAGGAAAAAACACACACGCAAGAACCUUUGGAUAUAAGUGCGCGACGGAUUUAGGAGCUACAGGAUCAGUAGAAAUUGAACUGCGGAGUGCAUAGGAGUCGACCUUCACUCCAACGCUCAGGAGGUGUCGAGCGUGAAGGAGGUUGCCCGCGACGCGCGACCAUGGCGCGCAGCCAGCUGCAGGUUGUGGCCUCCUCCAUCUAAAGUUCGACGCCUCCUCGAUCUGCAGGAUAGCACCCCAUCCGCCCGCGUGCUAGUGGUCGCCGGAGAGUGGAGGGUGGUGAAGGAUCCUCGCCGGAUCGGGCGACCCCGAGGUGCUCCGGCAGGUGGUGUGGCGCGUCAUCGGCUGGGGUCGACGCUGUGGUGGCGUCACUGGUGGGGGUGGGGCUGUGGCGGCAACGCCGGCAGGGGCGUGGAUGCGGCUGCGUGGCGGUGGCGGCAACACCGGAUGGGGUCUGGGCGGCGGGAUGGGUGCUCCCACGGUGUCGACGGGGAGGAAGCAGGAGAUCGGUCAAAGGGAAGGGAGGGCAUGGAGGCGCCCGGCUUGCCGGCGGGGCGGGAGUGGGAGCGGGCGGGGCGGCGACGCCGGGUGGAGGCAGGGUCAGGGGAAGGUGGGCGUCGCUGGGACUGGGAAGAUCGGGAGGUUGGGGAUCGGGCGAGGUGAUGGACGAGGGUGCGUGGAGUGGGCUUUUUUUUCUUCGUGGGUUUCGGG
This 2303-nucleotide long non-coding RNA is filed under the name Triticum aestivum (bread wheat). RNAcentral's name for it is "long non-coding RNA (TAES_LNC024174)". The record is from RNAcentral. Lineage: Eukaryota; Viridiplantae; Streptophyta; Magnoliopsida; Poales; Poaceae.